Molecule: small RNA, 148 nt
Filed under: Pongo abelii (Sumatran orangutan)
Lineage: Eukaryota; Metazoa; Chordata; Mammalia; Primates; Hominidae
Description: Metazoan signal recognition particle RNA (ENSPPYG00000033038.1)
Source: Rfam by way of RNAcentral
GCCAGGUGUGGUGGCGUGCACCUGUAAUCCCAGCUAUUCGGGAGGCUGAGGCAGAAGAAUUGCUUGAACCUGGGAACUGGAGGGUGCAGUGAGCUGAGAUCAUGCCACUGUACUCCAGCCUGGGCAACAGAGUGAGACUCUGUCUCAA